This 484-nucleotide ribosomal RNA is filed under the name uncultured bacterium. Its description in RNAcentral is "partial 16S ribosomal RNA". It matches the Rfam family "Bacterial small subunit ribosomal RNA", at positions 28 to 523 of the family's 1533-position model. The record is from RNAcentral.
GACGAACGCUGGCGGCGUGCUUAACACAUGCAAGCCGAACGAUGAAGCUAGAGCUUGCUCUGGUGAAUUAGUGGCGAACGGGUGAGUAACACGUGAGUAACCUGCCCCGAACUCUGGGAUAAUUGCUGGAAACGGUAGCUAAUACUGGAUACGACCUACGAAGGCAUCUUCUGUAGGUGGAAAGAAUUUCGGUUCGGGAUGGACCCGCGGCCUAUCAGCUUGUUGGUGAGGUAAUGGCUCACCAAGGCGACGACGGGUAGCCGGCCUGAGAGGGUGACCGGCCACACUGGGACUGAGACACGGCCCAGACUCCUACGGGAGGCAGCAGUGGGGAAUAUUGCUCAAUGGGCGCAAGCCUGAUGCAGCAACGCCGCGUGAGGGAUGACGGCCUUCGGGUUGUAAACCUCUUUUAGUAGGGAAGAAGCGAAAGUGACGGUACCUGCAGAAAAAGCACCGGCUAACUACGUGCCAGCAGCCGCCGUAA